GAGAGGGGGUGACUAGUGACAGAGUGGGUGACUAGUGACAGAGUGAGAGAGGGGGUGACUAGUGACAGAGUGAGGGAGGGAGUGGGUGACUAGUGAGAGUGAGGAAGGGGUUGACACAGUGAAAGAGUGAGGAAGGGGGUGACACAGUGAGGAAGGGGGUGACACAGUGACAGAGUGAGGGAGGGGGUGACUAGUGACAGAGUGAAGGAGGUGGUGACUGUCACUAGUCACCCCAUCCCUACCUCUGUCACUAAUCACCACCUCCCUCACUCUGUCUCACCCCAUCCCUCCCUCUGUCACUAAUCACCACCUCCCUCACUCUGUCACUAGUCACCCCUUCCCUCCCUCACUCUGUCACUAGUCACCCCUUCCCUCCCUCACUCUGUCACUAGUCACCCCCUCCCUCUCUCUGUCACUAGUCACCCCACCCUCUCUCUGUCACUAGUCACACCCUCUCUCA
Pelobates cultripes (western spadefoot toad) is the source of this 460-nucleotide non-coding RNA. The record is from the annotation of a GenBank genome assembly. NCBI's taxonomy places the organism in Eukaryota, Metazoa, Chordata, Amphibia, Anura, Pelobatidae.